AUACGGAGGGAGCAAGCGUUAUUCGGAAUCACUGGGCGUAAAGGACGCGUAGGCGGGUUUGUAAGUCAGGUGUGAAAUCCUACAGCUCCACUGUAGAACUGCACUUGAAACUACAGACCUAGAGUAUGGAAGGGGCAGAUGGAAUUAGUGGUGUAGGGGUAAAAUCCGUAGAUAUCACUAGGAAUACCGAAAGCGAAGGCGAUCUGCUGGGACAUUACUGACGCUGAGGCGUGAAAGCGUGGGGAGCAAACAGGAUUAGAAACCCCGGUAGUCC
This 274-nucleotide ribosomal RNA is filed under the name uncultured bacterium. Its description in RNAcentral is "partial 16S ribosomal RNA". It matches the Rfam family "Bacterial small subunit ribosomal RNA", at positions 523 to 796 of the family's 1533-position model. The record is from RNAcentral.